GCCGACUGCGGGCACAGCACAUUCUGCUAGCUCUCAGAGCAGCUCUGGCAUCGGAGCUGCCCACACAACCUGACUGACACCCUGCCCCGGCCUUGGGAGACACCAGCAUGCUUUCUACCUCCACCCUUGGCAGUAGGCCUCUUUGGGAUGUGCCACUUCACCGAGAAUCUUGCUUACGUGGGACUCAUUUUGAAGAUGCCAAAAAAAAGUGCCUGUGAAUUAUUACAGAUGGCUCCACUAGAAUUGCAGCCGGGAGUUCUGUCUUCUACGCAGAAAUAUUACCUGUUACACUAAGGACAUGGACCUUCUUUAGCCCUGGCUCAGUUUUCCUAUCUGAAGAAUGGGGUGGUAUUCUUUCUGUGAUCUGCUAGGAUCCCUUUGCUGUUUGCAAAAUUCAUCAGUGAUCCUUAGAUGAAAAGAGAGGAUGAACUGCAAAGGCCCAAUGCUGCCUGAGGUGAAUGGCUCCUCUCAGAGGGAGACCAAAGUGUCAGCCUGUCUUGCAAAAAGACCUCUGAGAGGGGAGGCCUGAAGAAGAAAAGGGGCCAGCUGCAGGAAGUCAGGAUGCUGGGCGGCUGAAUUAGAGGUGAUUAUUUGUUGACAUCAAGGGUUGUUUUAUUCAGUUUUUGCAAAGGGGUGGUGGAUUCCAUGGUCUCUUUUAUUGAGGCCAUCUUUAUCCCUGCUCUUAAUCCAAAUGGUUUCUAUUUAUACAAAACCAGUCAUUAAAGAUCUGUGUACACCUUAGACUCUGGCCUUUCAUGAAUCAAGAGAUGAACAACCAGCCUGAGGGUAAGCCAGAUUUCUUAGCCCUAAAGCCCGGUCUGUCCUAGAUUUUGACCUGGGGAGUUCAAAUAACUGAUUUCUUGUACAUUUCAUGUUUUGGAAGAGAAGAUAUUUAUAAAAAGACAUUCUAAUAAUAUUUUUCAUCUUAUAUUUCAAUAGGCUAAAUAAAACAUAAAGAGAUUCACAGAAA
Molecule: long non-coding RNA, 970 nt
Organism: Arvicola amphibius (Eurasian water vole)
Lineage: Eukaryota; Metazoa; Chordata; Mammalia; Rodentia; Cricetidae
Exons: 2
Source: RefSeq, a predicted model, not a curated record